CAGGGACCGCCCCAGUCCCAGCCCCGGCUGCGCGCGGUCGGCACACGCGUCCUGCUGCUCGGCGCGCACGCGCAAUCCUCACCAACGAGCCCGCAGCGCCCCCUAUCGGCCCGAGGCCUCCAGCCGGCCAACAAGCAGACUUAAUCACCAGCCUCAAGUGUUUCUAACUGUCCACCCUCCAGUUUCUAGCACCAGAUACCACCUAGAAAGGAGCGAGGGGCCGGCCUGAGCUCCCGCAAUGUGCCAGGUGGAGUUUGAGCUGGCCUGUGCUGCUAUCAAGCAGUUAAAGGGACCUGUGAGCGAUCAGGAGAAACUGUUGGUGUACAGCUUCUACAAACAGGCUACCCAGGGCGACUGCAACAUCCCGGCCCCGCCCGCCACAGACGUGAAAGCCAAGGCCAAGUGGGACGCGUGGAACGACAAGAAAGGGAUAUCCAAGAUGGACGCCAUGAGGAUCUAUGUUGCCAAAGUGGAAGAACUGAAGAAAAAUGAUACUGGUUAAGGAAGGUAGCGUGUCAAUCAGAAUGAGGUAGCGCGGGGAGAAGGGCUUUUUAAAAGACCUGAAUGGCGCAAGUGUCCUGAAACGUAACCACCAUAGCUGGGGCAUCAAUAAAUCACUUACACCACAUACA
Molecule: RNA transcript, 632 nt
Organism: Equus caballus (horse)
Lineage: Eukaryota; Metazoa; Chordata; Mammalia; Perissodactyla; Equidae
Gene: DBIL5
Source: RefSeq, a predicted model, not a curated record